AAUGAACGCUGGCGGCGCGCCUAAUACAUGCAAGUCGAGCGAGAAGACGUAGCAAUACGUUUGUAAAGCGGCGAACGGGUGAGGAAUACAUGGGUAACCUACCCUAGAGUGGGGAAUAACUAGCCGAAAGGUUAGCUAAUACCGCGUACGCUCCUUGGACUUCGGUUCAGGGAGGAAAGCGAUGCCGAGGGUAUCGCGCUCUUGGAUGGGCUCAUGUCCUAUCAGCUUGUUGGGGGGUGAUGGCCUACCAAGGCGACGACGGGUAGCCGGCCUGAGAGGGCGACCGGCCACACUGGGACUGAGACACGGCCCAGACUCCUACGGGAGGCAGCAGUGGGGAAUCUUGCGCAAUGGGCGAAAGCCUGACGCAGCGACGCCGCGUGAGGGAUGACGG
RNAcentral lists this ribosomal RNA (394 nucleotides) under uncultured bacterium. RNAcentral describes it as "bacterial SSU rRNA". It matches the Rfam family "Bacterial small subunit ribosomal RNA", at positions 29 to 414 of the family's 1533-position model. The record is from RNAcentral.